UCCAUAUCGUAGACUUGAUGUGUGGCCAGCCUACGUGCUGAUGCUUGCCAGCCUGUGUGCUGAUGACCGUGAACCUUGGUUUUAUUUUGGCUGAUCUUGUAAUGCCUCAGAUUGUAUGCCGCCUGCUAGACUUUGUGACUUUGCCUUGUUGGCUUUAUUAAUUUAAAGCCGGACGCCUUUGACGUCUUCGUUUUAUUUUUUUUCCAAUUUCCAUAGCCACUCAAAAAAAAUUGCCUACAAAAAAUCCAAUUUCCACAAGGGCACACCAUAGCACACGGCCGCCCACGACCGAGCUUGGCGGCUCCUCCCCUCCCGGCCGGAGCAGGGAAGCCGGAGAACUAAGUCGCAGGCUACUGGUGCAGCGUCGCCGUCCUACCGAUGCCUCUACGGCAUGACCGGCGCUUCCCUGCAGCGCGCCUGCCCUCGUUCUGCUGUUUACUCUUCCGACCAGGUGAUAUCCUCCAUGCCGAUGUUCUGGUCGAGCCCCAGGGCAUUCCACACCGCUGGUGAGGCAUCAACGAUGUUAUUAUUGCAUGGAGGCUCGUAGUUGUGGUCGGCGUCACAGCCAUACACGGAGUCGCACUCGUCCACCACCUUGGCGUACACGGACUUGCCGUUAGCGGUGAUCUUGAUGCGGUGACCGCAGCGUGCCAUGUUCUUGAACCAGCCGGUGGAGAGCGCAACGACCAGUUCCUUGUCGCUGUGGUAGGAGUUGUCGCACUCUGACGGGCCACCGCCAUCCUUGCCCUUCUCGAAGCUGUUGAGCGUCAGGACGGCCUUGGUGGUCGCGGUGACCGGCGGCGAGCAGUGGGGUACUGUGGGUACCUCUUACCGUCUUCGCAACAGUCCGGGUCAUUGCUCUUCUCGCAGUUGCCGGACUUGCCCGGGAGAUAGCCGCUGGCACGGCAGACCCCUAGGCCGGGGCGAAGGGAGGAGGCAAUGUGGGACGUGGAGAGCGCCACCAGCAGGAAGACCGCGGCAGUGGCUAGAGCUCUGAAGUUGGCCAUUUCAGUUACCCUAGUUUGUAUUCUCUCUGUUAUGCUGAUUCCUGGUGUGUUUGGCCUUGUUUUUGGAAUUGCUGUGUGCGCAUCGGCUUUUGUAGUACCCUUGAGGUGUGAACAUUGUCAGGUUGUUUGCUACGGCAAUUUUUGCUGUGUUCAGAUUAUGAAUACUUGAUGUGUGGACGUACCGUA
Non-coding RNA from Aegilops tauschii subsp. strangulata, 1193 nucleotides. The record is from RefSeq and is a predicted model, not a curated record. Lineage: Eukaryota; Viridiplantae; Streptophyta; Magnoliopsida; Poales; Poaceae.